Molecule: ribosomal RNA, 498 nt
Filed under: uncultured bacterium
Lineage: Bacteria
Description: partial 16S ribosomal RNA
Rfam family: Bacterial small subunit ribosomal RNA
Source: RNAcentral
AUUGAACGCUGGCGGCAUGCCUUACACAUGCAAGUCGAACGGUAACAGGUCUUCGGGUGCUGACGAGUGGCGUACGGGUGAGUAAUACAUCGGAACGUGCCUAGUAGUGGGGGAUAACUACUCGAAAGAGUGGCUAAUACCGCAUGAGAUCUACGGAUGAAAGCAGGGGAUCGCAAGACCUUGUGCUACUAGAGCGGCCGAUGGCAGAUUAGGUAGUUGGUGGGAUAAAAGCUUACCAAGCCGACGAUCUGUAGCUGGUCUGAGAGGACGAUCAGCCACACUGGGACUGAGACACGGCCCAGACUCCUACGGGAGGCAGCAGUGGGGAAUUUUGGACAAUGGGCGAAAGCCUGAUCCAGCAAUGCCGCGUGCAGAAUGAAGGCCUUCGGGUUGUAAACUGCUUUUGUACGGAACGAAAAGCCCCGGGUUAAUACCCUGGGGUCAUGACGGUACCGUAAGAAUAAGCACCGGCUAACUACGUGCCAGCCGCCGCCGUAA